UUCCGUAGGUGAACCUGCGGAAGGAUCAUUAUUGAUAGUUUGUAUUAUCAAAAACCCCUUUGUUUAUCAUUUACCAUGUUGCUUCCAUUGGACAGACCAGCAUUGUGUAUACAAGUUGGUCCUCUAGUUUUGUGUUUAUUUGGCACUAGCUAGGGAGCUGCCAGUGGAUAGAAUCCAAAAAAAAAAUUCGUGAAGAAACAUAUAUUGUCUGAUUUAUUAGUACAAAAAAAAAUAAAACUUUCAACAACGGAUCUCUAGGCUCUUGCAUCGAUGAAGAACGCAGUGAAAUGCGAUAAGUAAUGUGAAUUGCAAAAUCUCGUGAAUCAUCGAAUCUUUGAACGCACAUUGCGCCCUAUGGAAUUCUGUAGGGCAUGCCUGUCUGAGCGUCAGCAGCAAAAAAAUCAAAAUCUUUGUAGGUAAAGAUUUAGAUUUGGUUAAGAGAUGUAAUCUGUGAAAGAACCGGUUACACUUUUGAAAUUUAAAGGCAGUAUUGAUCAAUCCAACUGUAAACGUGAUAACACAUUUCGUUUUAUUGUUAGGAAUGAGCUUUUUGCUUGCCUAUAAACCCACUCAUCUUCAUGGGUGACCUCAGAUCAGGUAGGGAUACCCGCUGAACUUAAGCAUA
This 625-nucleotide ribosomal RNA is filed under the name Peziza sp. HE140819. RNAcentral describes it as "eukaryotic LSU rRNA". The stretch from base 236 to 389 matches the Rfam family "5.8S ribosomal RNA". The record is from RNAcentral. Lineage: Eukaryota; Fungi; Ascomycota; Pezizomycetes; Pezizales; Pezizaceae.